GAUGAACGCUGGCGGCGUGCCUAAUACAUGCAAGUCGAACGGAGUUGUUGUAGCAAUACGGCAACUUAGUGGCGAACGGGUGAGUAACGCGUUGGUGACCUGCCCCGAAGAGGGGGAUAACAGUCCGAAAGGAUUGCUAAUACCCCAUGUGGUUACCGGUUUUAGAAUCCGGCAACUAAAGUCGUAAGACACUUUGGGAGGGACCUGCGUCCCAUCAGCUAGUUGGUGAGGUAACGGCCCACCAAGGCUACGACGGGUAGGGGACCUGAGAGGGUGGUCCCCCACACUGGCACUGAAACACGGGCCAGACACCUACGGGUGGCUG
Molecule: ribosomal RNA, 325 nt
Filed under: uncultured Chloroflexota bacterium
Lineage: Bacteria; Bacillati; Chloroflexota
Description: bacterial SSU rRNA
Rfam family: Bacterial small subunit ribosomal RNA
Source: RNAcentral